This 279-nucleotide ribosomal RNA is filed under the name uncultured bacterium. Its description in RNAcentral is "partial 16S ribosomal RNA". It matches the Rfam family "Bacterial small subunit ribosomal RNA", at positions 506 to 784 of the family's 1533-position model. The record is from RNAcentral.
UGCCAGCAGCCGCGGUAAUACGAAGGGGGCUAGCGUUGUUCGGAAUCACUGGGCGUAAAGCGUGCGUAGGCGGAUCGACAAGUUGGGGGUGAAAUCCCGGGGCUUAACCCCGGAACUGCCCUCAAAACUGUCGAUCUAGAGACCGGGAGAGGUAAGCGGAAUUCCUAGUGUAGAGGUGAAAUUCGUAGAUAUUAGGAAGAACACCAGUGGCGAAGGCGGCUCACUGGCUCGAUACUGACGCUGGGGCGCGAAGGCGUGGGUAGCGAACGGGAUUAGAUA